GGAUGCGUUGACUUUAAUUCUCUAUAACUUCUUCAUCCAAACUCCAAAUUCAUCAAAAAAUAUAUGAAAAGUAUAGUCGAAGAAGUGCCCUCUUCAAUCCUGGUUGCCAAUCCUUUGUUGCUCUCCGUAAAUAUAUGUUAUGCUCCAAAGAGUGAUAGUAGAUAUGAAAUUGACACCUUAACUUUGAGCACCAAUAACUCCUUCAUAAAAACUCCAAAUUACUUAAAAUUUGCAUCCA
This 238-nucleotide long non-coding RNA is filed under the name Physcomitrium patens. RNAcentral describes it as "long non-coding RNA (PPAT_LNC006995)". Lineage: Eukaryota; Viridiplantae; Streptophyta; Bryopsida; Funariales; Funariaceae. The record is from RNAcentral.